UGCCCAGACUCCUACGGGAGGCAGCAGUGGGGGAUAUUGCACAAUGGGGGGAACCCUGAUGCAGCGACGCCGCGUGAAGGAAGAAGUAUCUCGGUAUGUAAACUUCUAUCAGCAGGGAAGAAAAUGACGGUACCUGACUAAGAAGCCCCGGCUAACUACGUGCCAGCAGCCGCGGUAAUACGUAGGGGGCAAGCGUUAUCCGGAUUUACUGGGCGUAAAGGGAGCGCAGGCGGCGCGCCAAGUCUGAUGUGAAACCCCGGGGCUCAACCCCGGGCAUGCAUUGGAAACUGGCGGGCUGGAGUGCCGGAGAGGUAAGCGGAAUUCCUAGUGUAGCGGUGAAAUGCGUAGAUAUUAGGAGGAACACCAGUGGCGAAGGCGGCUUACUGGACGGCAACUGACGCUGAGGCUCGAAAGCGUGGGGAGCAAACAGGAUUAGAUACCCGAGUAGA
RNAcentral lists this ribosomal RNA (449 nucleotides) under uncultured bacterium. Its description in RNAcentral is "partial 16S ribosomal RNA". It matches the Rfam family "Bacterial small subunit ribosomal RNA", at positions 328 to 794 of the family's 1533-position model. The record is from RNAcentral.